Molecule: ribosomal RNA, 253 nt
Filed under: uncultured bacterium
Lineage: Bacteria
Description: partial 16S ribosomal RNA
Rfam family: Bacterial small subunit ribosomal RNA
Source: RNAcentral
UACGGGGGGGGCAAGCGUUGUUCGGAUUUAUUGGGCGUAAAGAGCUCGUAGGCGGUCUGUCACGUCGGCUGUGAAACCCGAGGCUCAACCUCGGGCCUGCAGUCGAUACGGGCAAACUAGAGUACUGCAGGGGAGACUGGAAUUCCCGGUGUAGUGGUGAAAUGGCGUAGAGAUCGGGAGGAAUACUGUGGCGAAGGCGGCCUACUGGGCCGGACCUGACGCUGAGACGCGAAGGCGUGGGAGCGAACGGGUG